AAAUGCCCAAAUAACUCCCAUUUUUCCCAAAUCGUGGAACGGUGGAAGGUUAGAAGAAAACCCUUUUCCAAUUUCUUCAAUUCUUCCUUCACUGCCUGCACGACGCUGCACACGAGCGACGAGACACGACGUUGUCGGAGACCGUCGAUUUCGCCCCUGCCCUGCAGGCUGCAGUGUGAGACACUUCUUCCUUCGCCGUCGUCGUUUAAGGGUAUCAAUUUGGCGUGAAAUUGGAGCAGAAUCGCAGAAUUCUUUGUCCACUUGGUGAGCAAGUUCUCUGGUUCAUUGGUUGGAGACUUGGAUUCAAUAUUAGUGCCAAAGGAUUCCUUCCUCAUGUCAAUGAGUUAAAUUGAUCAGUUGAUGUUAAAUAUGUUGUGAUUUAUUCAUUUGGGAAUUAAAAAAUUGCAAAUUGUGAUUUAUGAAUUAUGAUAAGUAAUUCAUAAAUUUAAGAGUUAUGAUUAUUGAUUUGGGAAUUUAUGUUUACGAAAUUAUAUUUGCAUUCCUGAUUUAUGAUAAGUAAGUUAUGUUUUGAUGA
Molecule: long non-coding RNA, 535 nt
Organism: Olea europaea var. sylvestris
Lineage: Eukaryota; Viridiplantae; Streptophyta; Magnoliopsida; Lamiales; Oleaceae
Exons: 2
Source: RefSeq, a predicted model, not a curated record